RNAcentral lists this long non-coding RNA (617 nucleotides) under Zostera marina. Its description in RNAcentral is "long non-coding RNA (ZMAR_LNC005180)". Lineage: Eukaryota; Viridiplantae; Streptophyta; Magnoliopsida; Alismatales; Zosteraceae. The record is from RNAcentral.
CAGCUUUCAGCAACAUCGAAGACGUCGUGGCUUUCGUCAAAUGGCUCGACGAUGAACUCUCCUUCCUGGUAUAUAUUGAUUAAUAUUAUUUACUUAAAAAGUGAAAAUACAAAUUUUUCCGACGAUUGAUUAACUAUACUUAUCUUCAAUUCGCCAUUCAUCCUCAGGUGGAUGAGAGAGCAGUGCUGAAGCACUUCGAGUGGCCGGAGAAGAAAGCCGAUGCCAUGCGAGAGGCUGCAUUUGGGUACAGUGACCUGAAAAAGGUGGAAUCGGAAGCAUCGUCAUUCCGUGACGACGAGCAUCGAAAUUGUAACGCUGCAAUGAAAAAGAUGCAAGCCCUGUUAGAGAAGUAAGUGAAUAAAUUCCAAUUUUCGAAAUAAACCAAUUCUAAAUGAAUAUUUACUUAUGUAUAGAUUGGAGCAUGGACUUUAUAACCUUUCCCGUGUACGAGAGUCGGCAAUUAGAAGAUACAAAAGUUGCCGGAUACCAUGGGAAUGGAUGCUCGACACCGGCUUGGUGUCUCAGAUCAAGUUAGCAUCCGUGAAGCUAGCAACAAAAUACAUGAAGAAAAUUUCUGCAGAGCUGGAAGCUGUAGAUGCCGGAGGCCAAGAGGAAGA